This 253-nucleotide ribosomal RNA is filed under the name uncultured bacterium. Its description in RNAcentral is "partial 16S ribosomal RNA". It matches the Rfam family "Bacterial small subunit ribosomal RNA", at positions 524 to 776 of the family's 1533-position model. The record is from RNAcentral.
UACGGGGGGGGCAAGCGUUGUUCGGAAUUACUGGGCGUAAAGGGCUCGUAGGCGGCCAACUAAGUCGGAUGUGAAAUCCCCAGGCUCAACCUGGGAACUGCAUCCGAUACUGGAUGGCUUGAAUUCGGGAGAGGGAUGCAGAAUUCCAGGUGUAGCGGUGAAAUGCGCAGAUAUCAGGAGGAACACCGAUGGCGAAGGCAGGUCUCUGGGCAUUAACUGACGCUGAGGAGCGAAAGCAUGGGGAGCGAACAGG